This 66-nucleotide transfer RNA is filed under the name Scolecomorphus vittatus. Its description in RNAcentral is "tRNA-Cys". The record is from RNAcentral. Lineage: Eukaryota; Metazoa; Chordata; Amphibia; Gymnophiona; Scolecomorphidae.
AGUUCUGUAGUGAAAUUCACAUCGGAUUGCAAAUCCGGAAAAGUAGUACAAGAAAUACCAGGACUU